RNAcentral lists this ribosomal RNA (425 nucleotides) under uncultured bacterium. RNAcentral describes it as "partial 16S ribosomal RNA". It matches the Rfam family "Bacterial small subunit ribosomal RNA", at positions 354 to 796 of the family's 1533-position model. The record is from RNAcentral.
GUGGGGAAUAUUGCACAAUGGGGGAAACCCUGAUGCAGCGACGCCGCGUGGAGGAUGACGGCCUUCGGGUUGUAAACUCCUUUUGUCAGGGACAAUGGUGAUGGUACCUGACGAAUAAGCCACGGCUAACUCUGUGCCAGCAGCCGCGGUAAGACAGAGGUGGCGAGCGUUGUUCGGAAUUACUGGGCUUAAAGGGCGCGUAGGCGGGGGUGUAAGUCUGGGGUGGAAUGCUACAGCUCAACUGUAGAGCUGCCUUGGAAACUGCAUUACUUGAGUCGGUGAGGGGAAGGCGGAAUUCCUGGUGUAGCGGUGAAAUGCGUAGAUAUCAGGAGGAAGGUCUGUGGCGAAGGCGGCCUUCUGGCACUUGACUGACGCUGAGGCGCGAAAGCGUGGGGAGCAAACAGGAUUAGAUACCCGGGUAGUCC